This 304-nucleotide ribosomal RNA is filed under the name uncultured bacterium. Its description in RNAcentral is "partial 16S ribosomal RNA". It matches the Rfam family "Bacterial small subunit ribosomal RNA", at positions 506 to 809 of the family's 1533-position model. The record is from RNAcentral.
CAGCAGUAGCCGCGGUAAUACAGAGGGUGCGAGCGUUAAUCGGAUUUACUGGGCGUAAAGCGUGCGUAGGCGGCUUCUUAAGUCGGAUGUGAAAUCCCUGAGCUUAACUUAGGAAUUGCAUUCGAUACUGGGAAGCUAGAGUAUGGGAGAGGAUGGUAGAAUUCCAGGUGUAGCGGUGAAAUGCGUAGAGAUCUGGAGGAAUACCGAUGGCGAAGGCAGCCAUCUGGCCUAAUACUGACGCUGAGGUACGAAAGCAUGGGGAGCAAACAGGAUUAGAUACCCCCGUAGUCCCUGUCUCUUAUAU